AUGACCUCUUGCCAUCUUUCCUCAUAAUCAGAACAUCACCAACACCUUCAGCUGCUAGAGUGUUGUCAUUUGCAAAUUUCACCAUGUUCUUCAUUGAGGAUUUUAUGUUGACAAACCAAUCUUUUCUUCUAGACAUGUGUGAUGAGCAUCAUGAGUCCAAGUACCACUGGUCCUUGAAUCUCUCCUUUUCUCUUGUUGUGAC
This 202-nucleotide long non-coding RNA is filed under the name Lathyrus oleraceus (garden pea). RNAcentral's name for it is "Pisum sativum (pea) long non-coding RNA (PSAT_LNC023544)". Lineage: Eukaryota; Viridiplantae; Streptophyta; Magnoliopsida; Fabales; Fabaceae. The record is from RNAcentral.